UAUAGGAGAAAUCGCAUAGGAGAUCUCGUCAAGGAAUAUCACAAAUCAGGUGAGCCUUGAUGUGGGGACUUGGGCCGGAGGGGAUUCAGAGUGGCCACGGUGAUUGUCUUUGGACUUUUAAAUAAGCGUAGGUUUUCUUUAAAUUUCCUUUAAAUAUUAUUUAUUUUUGGGUUGUAAUAAGGCCAUUUUAACUUUCCUUUUAUUUCUUUUCGGGAUUACUUUAAUUUUAAUAACUUUAAACCUGGUUGAUAAUUAUUCAAAUGGGCUAGACUUAGGACGUGUUUUCAAAA
Gossypium arboreum is the source of this 290-nucleotide long non-coding RNA. RefSeq lists it as uncharacterized. The record is from RefSeq and is a predicted model, not a curated record. NCBI's taxonomy places the organism in Eukaryota, Viridiplantae, Streptophyta, Magnoliopsida, Malvales, Malvaceae. The transcript has 2 exons.